GAUGAACGCUAGCGGCAGGCCUAACACAUGCAAGUCGAGGGGUAGAUUUUCUUCGGAGAAUUGAGACCGGCGCACGGGUGCGUAACGCGUAUGCAACUUACCUUAUACUGGGGGAUAGCCCGGAGAAAUUCGGAUUAAUACCGCAUAUGCUCACAGUCUCGCAUGGGACGGUGAGGAAAGAUUUAUCGGUAUAAGAUAGGCAUGCGUCCUAUUAGCUUGUUGGUGAGGUAACGGCUCACCAAGGCGAUGAUAGGUAGGGGGCCUGAGAGGGUGGUCCCCCACACUGGUACUGAGACACGGACCAGACUCCUACGGGAGGCAGCAGUGAGGAAUAUUGGGCAAUGGAGGCAACUCUGACCCAGCUAUGCCGCGUGAAGGAUGAAGGUCCUCUGGAUUGUAAACUUCUUUUGUAUGGGGGAUAAACUUUUCUACGUGUAGAAAACUGAAGGUACCAUACGAAUAAGGAUCGGCUAACUCCGUG
Molecule: ribosomal RNA, 481 nt
Filed under: uncultured bacterium
Lineage: Bacteria
Description: bacterial SSU rRNA
Rfam family: Bacterial small subunit ribosomal RNA
Source: RNAcentral